UUGACCUCAAAUCGGGUGAGACUACCCCGCUGAACUUAAGC
RNAcentral lists this ribosomal RNA (41 nucleotides) under Lactarius aff. chrysorrheus Verbeken 05-359. Its description in RNAcentral is "partial 28S ribosomal RNA". Lineage: Eukaryota; Fungi; Basidiomycota; Agaricomycetes; Russulales; Russulaceae. The record is from RNAcentral.